This 457-nucleotide ribosomal RNA is filed under the name uncultured bacterium. RNAcentral describes it as "bacterial SSU rRNA". It matches the Rfam family "Bacterial small subunit ribosomal RNA", at positions 29 to 526 of the family's 1533-position model. The record is from RNAcentral.
AGCGAACGCUGGCGGCAGGCUUAACACAUGCAAGUCGAACGCUCGUCUUCGGACGGGAGUGGCAGACGGGUGAGUAACACGUGGGAACGUACCCUUUGGUUCGGAAUAACGCAGGGAAACUUGCGCUAAUACCGGAUACGCCCUUUUGGGGAAAGGUUUACUGCCGAAGGAUCGGCCCGCGUCUGAUUAGCUAGUUGGUGGGGUAACGGCCUACCAAGGCGACGAUCAGUAGCUGGUCUGAGAGGAUGAUCAGCCACACUGGGACUGAGACACGGCCCAGACUCCUACGGGAGGCAGCAGUGGGGAAUCUUCUGCAAUGGGCGCAAGCCUGACAGAGCGGCGUCAUGUGAAGGAAGAAGGCCUGAAAUAGGUUGUAAACUUCUUUUACUGAGUAAUGAAUACUGACAACGCAGUAAAAAAGUAUCGGCUAACUCCGUGCCAGCCGCCGCGGUAACAC